GAUAUUGGACCCAAAUGUAGCGGAAGCCUUCCACAACUCCACAAGGUUUACCCAGUAUAAAUAGAUUCGGUGUAUUUCAAAUAUUUAACGUUGCAUAUGCCUCAGUUCAUCAUGCCUUCUUACUGAUUCUAACUAAGCCUCAGAAGCAAUGAACAAUUGAAUAUAGGAAUAUCAUUCUCUCACGCCAGACCGGUUGAAUUUAUUUGAAUGAGUUGUUGAUAGGCAUAGUUUGGCUCAAUCACAACUGAUGAUUCAAUAUGGUCUGAGGGUGUUGCAGCUACUAGCCGAGGAUUAAAGCAGAACGUGGACUUGAAGGUGAUUCUUUCCGAUGCAAAUGUUCCAGGUGAAGGGGAGCAGAAGGUUAUGUCAUACAUUUGUCUUCAAAGAAAUCCCUUGGCUAGCUGAGAGCUUGGAGCUGGUGAGAAGGAAAUCAAUUGUGGUUCGAUAAAUAGGGAAAGCAUUUCUCAGCUGCCAAAAGAACCACUUUGGAGAAACUGGAAGCUAAUAUCAAGACCAGAAGCUAACUUAUAUCCAGCAAAAAGAUGUGCAACAUGAAGCCUCAAAAGUCUUGCACAAAACAAGUCUCAAUGUGCUUUUUGAUUGGCUCAAUCUGUUCAGGCCAACUUCCAUCAAAGAGUUCUCAUACACCAAGUUUCAUUUCAACUGAUUGAUUGGGGUCAAGAAAUACCCAAGUGUACUUGACCUCAAAAGGUAGUUGGUAAGGUCAAGUACAGCUACU
This 739-nucleotide long non-coding RNA is filed under the name Rosa chinensis. RNAcentral describes it as "sRNA RchiOBHm_Chr5g0008491". The record is from RNAcentral. Lineage: Eukaryota; Viridiplantae; Streptophyta; Magnoliopsida; Rosales; Rosaceae.